AGUGAACGCUGGCGGUAGGCCUAACACAUGCAAGUCGAACGGCAGCACAGGAGAGCUUGCUCUCUGGGUGGCGAGUGGCGGACGGGUGAGGAAUACAUCGGAAUCUACUCUGUCGUGGGGGAUAACGUAGGGAAACUUACGCUAAUACCGCAUACGACCUACGGGUGAAAGCAGGGGAUCUUCGGACCUUGCGCGAUUGAAUGAGCCGAUGUCGGAUUAGCUAGUUGGCGGGGUAAAGGCCCACCAAGGCGACGAUCCGUAGCUGGUCUGAGAGGAUGAUCAGCCACACUGGAACUGGGACACGGUCCAGACUCCUACGGGAGACAGCAGUGGGGAAUAUUGGACAAUGGGCGCAAGCCUGAUCCAGCCAUACCGCGUGGGUGAAGUAGGCCUUCGGGUUGUAAAGCCCUUUUGUUGGGAAAGAAAUCCAGCUGGCUAAUACCCGGUUGGGAUGACGGUACCCAAAGAAUAAGCACCGGCUAACUUCGUGCCAGCCGCCGCGGUAA
RNAcentral lists this ribosomal RNA (506 nucleotides) under uncultured bacterium. RNAcentral's name for it is "partial 16S ribosomal RNA". It matches the Rfam family "Bacterial small subunit ribosomal RNA", at positions 29 to 523 of the family's 1533-position model. The record is from RNAcentral.